This 421-nucleotide ribosomal RNA is filed under the name uncultured bacterium. RNAcentral describes it as "bacterial SSU rRNA". It matches the Rfam family "Bacterial small subunit ribosomal RNA", at positions 355 to 774 of the family's 1533-position model. The record is from RNAcentral.
UAAGGAAUAUUGGUCAAUGGACGCAAGUCUGAACCAGCCAUGCCGCGUGAAGGAUGAAGGUCCUCUGGAUUGUAAACUUCUUUUAUCUGGGACGAAAACGGGAUUUUUAUCUCAAUUGACGGUACCAGAGGAAUAAGCACCGGCUAACUCCGUGCCAGCAGCCGCGGUAAUACGGAGGGUGCGAGCGUUAUCCGGAUUUACUGGGUCUAAAGGGUGCGUAGGUGGGCUUAUAAGUCAGUGGUGAAAUCUCCGAGCUUAACUUGGAAACUGCCGUUGAUACUAUAGGUCUUGAAUUAUCUGGAGGUAAGCGGAAUAUGUCAUGUAGCGGUGAAAUGCUUAGAUAUGACAUAGAACACCAAUUGCGAAGGCAGCUUACUACAUAUAAAUUGACGCUGAGGCACGAAAGCGUGGGGAUCAAACA